GGUGAUCAGGAUGACCGACCAAAGUCGGAUCUAAUCAUUUGUAAUUUGAUUUCUGAGUAUGAUCAUGUUAAUGGUUGGACCUAACCAGACCUUUCAGUGGAGGCCAAAGCCUACUGUUAGGAUUCUAGGAUAAAAUCAAUUACUAAAAAUUAUUUAUUAAAAUAAUUGAUUAAGAACCUACCCAAAGAUGUACAUGGGUAAGCUGGCCAA
This 210-nucleotide long non-coding RNA is filed under the name Elaeis guineensis (African oil palm). Its description in RNAcentral is "long non-coding RNA (EGUI_LNC060292)". The record is from RNAcentral. Lineage: Eukaryota; Viridiplantae; Streptophyta; Magnoliopsida; Arecales; Arecaceae.